CGGCUCAGUAACACGUGGAUAACCUACCCUCAGAUCUGGGAUAACUCCGGGAAACUGGAGAUAAUACCGGAUAAUCCGUGAACGCUGGAAUGCCUUACGGUUGAAAGCUUUAGCGUCUGAGGAUGGGUCUGCGGCCGAUUAGGUAGUUGCUGGGGUAACGUCCCAACAAGCCGAUAAUCGGUACGGGUUGUGAGAGCAAGAGCCCGGAGAUGGAUUCUGAGACACGAAUCCAGGUCCUACGGGGCGCAGCAGGCGCGAAAACUUUACACUGCGCGAAAGCGCGAUAAGGGGACCUCGAGUGCGUGCGCAAUGCGUACGCUUUUCAGAUGCCUAAAAAGCAUCUGGAAUAAGGGCCGGGCAAGACCGGUGCCAGCCGCCGCGGUAACACCGGCGGCUCAAGUGGUGGCCGCUAUUAUUGGGCUUAAAGGGUCCGUAGCCGGACCAGUUAGUCCCUUGGGAAAUCUUACGGCUUAACCGUAAGGCUGCCAAUGGAUACUGCUGGUCUUGGGACCGGGAGAGGCAAGAGGUACCUCAGGGGUAGGAGUGAAAUCCUGUAAUCCUUGAGGGACCGCCAGUGGCGAAGGCGUCUUGCUAGAACGGGUCCGACGGUGAGGGACGAAAGCUAGGGGCACGAACCGGAUUAGAUACCCGGGUAGUCCUAGCCGUAAACGAUGCGAGCUAGGUGUCACGUGGAUUG
This 697-nucleotide ribosomal RNA is filed under the name uncultured euryarchaeote. Its description in RNAcentral is "bacterial SSU rRNA". It matches the Rfam family "Archaeal small subunit ribosomal RNA", at positions 83 to 785 of the family's 1478-position model. The record is from RNAcentral. Lineage: Archaea; Methanobacteriati; Methanobacteriota.